ACGAUCAGGUUGUCAUCAAUCUCAAGAACAUUAUUAGUGGACAAUGAAAUUAAGAUGGCCAGGAGGUUGGAUUUUCACACUAAGCUGUGUGUGGCCUCUAUUUCUUCAGUUGUUACUCUAGCAGCAGUCCUAGCCUAUGUGUUGUCUCCCUAGUAAGGUCGUGUUUUUAGUGAUCGUUUAGCUGAUGCACUAAGCUGCUUCUCCAGAUUGUAUGAUGAUUAUAUGUUCCUCCUUUAUCUCAUUAUAAUAUAUUAUGUUAUGUUGGAGUUCACCGUAUCAAAUUCGAGUUGAUUUCGCAUAUCAAUUAUUCAUUAUGACCUUUUUUGAUGCAUGUUGUUCCCUGCC
Molecule: long non-coding RNA, 345 nt
Filed under: Hordeum vulgare
Lineage: Eukaryota; Viridiplantae; Streptophyta; Magnoliopsida; Poales; Poaceae
Description: long non-coding RNA (HVUL_LNC014046)
Source: RNAcentral